AGCUACGAGUUAUCUAUGGAUGC
This 23-nucleotide non-coding RNA is filed under the name Arabidopsis thaliana (thale cress). Lineage: Eukaryota; Viridiplantae; Streptophyta; Magnoliopsida; Brassicales; Brassicaceae. The record is from RNAcentral.